GCAUUGGCAGUUCUGUGGUAGAAUUCUUGCCUUCUGUGCAGGAGACCUGGGUUCGAUUCCCAGGUAACGCA
Molecule: transfer RNA, 71 nt
Filed under: Loxodonta africana (African savanna elephant)
Lineage: Eukaryota; Metazoa; Chordata; Mammalia; Proboscidea; Elephantidae
Rfam family: tRNA
About the family: Transfer RNA (tRNA) molecules are approximately 80 nucleotides in length.
Source: Rfam by way of RNAcentral